RNAcentral lists this ribosomal RNA (253 nucleotides) under uncultured bacterium. RNAcentral's name for it is "partial 16S ribosomal RNA". It matches the Rfam family "Bacterial small subunit ribosomal RNA", at positions 524 to 776 of the family's 1533-position model. The record is from RNAcentral.
UACGGGGGGGGCAAGCGUUGUUCGGAAUUACUGGGCGUAAAGGGCUCGUAGGCGGCCAACUAAGUCGGAUGUGAAAUCCCCAGGCUCAACCUGGGAACUGCAUCCGAUACUGGAUGGCUUGAAUUCGGGAGAGGGAUGCAGAAUUCCAGGUGUAGCGGUGAAAUGCGUAGAUAUCUGGAGGAAUACCGAUGGCGAAGGCAGCCCCCUGGGAUAACACUGACGCUCAUGCACGAAAGCGUGGGGAGCAAACAGG